GAUUAACGCUAGCGGCAGGCAUAAUACAUGCAAGUUGAACGGCAGCACAGGUAGCAAUACUGGGUGGCGAGUGGCGCACGGGUGCGUAACACGUAUGCAACCUACCCUAUACAGGCGAAUAACCUUUAGAAAUGAGGGCUAAUACGCCGUAGUAUUACAGAUGGGCAUCUAUUUGUAAUUAAAGAUUUAUCGGUAUAGGAUGGGCAUGCGUCCCAUUAGUUAGUUGGUAAGGUAACGGCUUACCAAGACGAUGAUGGGUAGGGGAUCUGAGAGGACUUACCCCCACACUGGUACUGAGACACGGACCAGACUCCUACGGGAGGCAGCAGUAAGGAAUAUUGGGCAAUGGCCGCGAGGCUGACCCAGCCAUGCCGCGUGCAUGAAGACGGCCUUAUGGGUUGUAAACUGCUUUUAUACGGGAAUAAUAGAGUGUACGCGUACAUUUAUGCAAGUAUCGUAUGAAUAAGCAUCGGCUAACUCCGUG
Molecule: ribosomal RNA, 484 nt
Filed under: uncultured bacterium
Lineage: Bacteria
Description: partial 16S ribosomal RNA
Rfam family: Bacterial small subunit ribosomal RNA
Source: RNAcentral